RNAcentral lists this ribosomal RNA (253 nucleotides) under uncultured bacterium. RNAcentral describes it as "partial 16S ribosomal RNA". It matches the Rfam family "Bacterial small subunit ribosomal RNA", at positions 524 to 776 of the family's 1533-position model. The record is from RNAcentral.
UACAGAGGGGGCAAGCGUUGUUCGGAUUUACUGGGCGUAAAGGGCGCGCAGGCGGCUUAUUUUGUCAGGCGUGAAAGCCCCGGGCUUAACCUGGGAACUGCGUUUGAUACGGAUGGGCUAGAGUUCGGGAGAGGAGAGUGGAAUUCCCAGUGUAGAGGUGAAAUUCGUAGAUAUUGGGAAGAACACCGGUGGCGAAGGCGGCUCUCUGGACCGAUACUGACGCUGAGGCGCGAAAGCGUGGGGAGCAAACAGG